This is a non-coding RNA of Pelobates cultripes (western spadefoot toad), 84 nucleotides long. NCBI's taxonomy places the organism in Eukaryota, Metazoa, Chordata, Amphibia, Anura, Pelobatidae. The record is from the annotation of a GenBank genome assembly.
CACAUAUUCUUGUGUCACUAAAUCUUUUAUCCAAAUAUAUAUAUAUAUAUUUGGACAAAAGAUUUAGUGACACAAGAAUAUGUG